Molecule: long non-coding RNA, 217 nt
Filed under: Hordeum vulgare
Lineage: Eukaryota; Viridiplantae; Streptophyta; Magnoliopsida; Poales; Poaceae
Description: long non-coding RNA (HVUL_LNC021603)
Source: RNAcentral
GGCAUAGGGUUGUGUUUGAAGAAAUGGAGUUUCGUUGUUCGUCACAUGAAACUCUGCACUUAGGGAUCAGCCUCACAAAUAUGCUCUUCGAGCUUUGAAACCGUCUUCUUUGUGGACUCGGCUGUAGGCUAUAUAUCCAUGGCUUGUUGAGAUCCCCUUCCUCCUUCCUUUCUCACUGGAAAAAGCAGUAGUUGUCAAUCGACGACCAGUUAUCAAU